GAAAGGUGAAAAGAACCGCGGGAGCGGAGUGAAAGAGAACCUGAAACCGUAUGCCUACAAGAAGUCAGAGCCCGUUAAGGGGUGAUGGCGUGCCUUUUGUAGAAUGAACCGGCGAGUUGCGACAGACUGCGAGGUUAAGGAGGAAAGACCGGAGCCGAAGCGAAAGCGAGUCUUAAGAGGGCGAAAGUAGGAUGUUGCAGACCCGAAACCGGGUGAUCUAGCCAUGAGCAGGUUGAAGUUGAGGUGAAACUCAAUGGAGGACCGAACCGACUACCUUUGAAAAGUUAGCGGAUGACUUGUGGCUAGGGGAGAAAUUCCAAUCGAACCCGGAGAUAGCUGGUUCUCCCCGAAAUAGCUUUAGGGCUAGCGUCGGAAAGAACCUUAGUGAAGGUAGAGCACUGAAUGUGUGAUGGCCCCAUCCCGGGGUACUGAAUACAAUCAAACUGCGAAUGUCAUUAAGGAUGUCCGGCAGUCAGACUGUGAGUGAUAAGGUCCAUGGUCAAGAGGGAAACAGCCCAGACCGCCAGUUAAGGUCCCAAAAUACAGGCUAAGUGGAAAAGGAUGUGGGGAUGCCCAGACAACUAGGAGGUUGGCUCAGAAGCAGCCAUCCUUUAAAGAGUGCGUAACAGCUCACUAGUCGAGUGACCCUGCGCCGAAAAUGUACCGGGGCUAAGCCUGAUACCGAAACUGCGGAUUGUAGGAAACUAUAGUGGUAGGGGAGCGUUGUAUACGAGCAGAAGCCGUACCGUGAGGAGCGGUGGAUUGUAUAGAAGUGAGAAUGCCGGUGUGAGUAGCGAGAUGUAGGUGAGAAUCCUACACACCGAAAGCCCAAGGAUUCCAGGGGAAGGUUCGUCCGCCCUGGGUAAGUCGGGACCUAACGCGAGGCCGAAAGGCGUAGUGGAUGGAAAGCAGGCGAAAGAUUCCUGCACCCGUAUAUGGAGCGAAGGAGUGACGGAGACGGAUAGUGUGACCCUCUUAAUGGAUUGAGGGCGAAGCGAAGCGGCUGGUUACCAGGCAAAUCCGGUAACCAUAAGGCUAGAGCGUGACAGGUAAGCGAAAUCUUAGGAAAGUAGCGAAGCACAUGAUGACGGCUUCCAGGAAAAGCUUCUGGCAAUGCAUAUGCGGCCCGUACCAAAACCGACACAGGUGGGCAGGGAGAGAAUCCCGAGGUGAGCGAGAGAACUGUUGCCAAGGAACUCGGCAAAAUGACUCCGUAAGUUAGCGAGAAGGAGUGCUUAAGCAAUUAAGCCGCAGUGAAGAGGCCCAAGCGACUGUUUAACUAAAACACAGCUCUCUGCGAAGUCGCAAGACGAAGUAUAGGGGGUGACACCUGCCCGGUGCUGGAAGGUUAAGAGGAUCUGUUAAGAGCGAUCUGAAGCAGUGAUCCGAAGCCCCAGUGAACGGCGGCCGUAACAAUAACGGUCCUAAGGUAGCGAAAUUCCUUGUCAGGUAAGUUCUGACCCGCACGAAAGGUGUAACGAUUUGGGCGCUGUCUCGGCAGCAGACUCGGUGAAAUCUUAGUACCUGUGAAAAUGCAGGUUACCCGCAACUAGACGGAAAGACCCCAUGGAGCUUUACUGCAGCCUGAUAUUGAAUUCUGGUCAUACAUGUACAGGAUAGGUGGGAGACAAAGAGACGUGCACGCCAGUGUACGAGGAGUCGACGUUGGGAUACCACUCUUGUGUGACCGGGGUUCUAACCUGGUAUCGAGAACAGGUACGGGGAGAGUGUCAGGUGGGCAGUUUGACUGGGGCGGUCGCCUCCCAAAGAGUAACGGAGGCGCCCAAAGGUACGCUCAGAUUGGAUGGAAACCAAUCGUCGAGUGCAAUUGCAGAAGCGUGCUUGACUGUGAGACAGACAAGUCGAACAGGGACGAAAGUCGGGAAUAGUGAUCCGGCGGUGCCGAAUGGAAGGGCCGUCGCUCAACGGAUAAAAGCUACCCUGGGGAUAACAGGCUGAUCUCCCCCAAGAGUCCACAUCGACGGGGAGGUUUGGCACCUCGAUGUCGGCUCAUCGCAUCCUGGGGCUGAAGUAGGUCCCAAGGGUUGGGCUGUUCGCCCAUUAAAGCGGUACGCGAGCUGGGUUCAGAACGUCGUGAGACAGUUCGGUCCCUAUCUGUUGUGGGCGAAGGAGAUCUGCGGAGAGCUGUCCUCAGUACGAGAGGACCGGGAUGGACCUACCGCUGGUGCACCGGUUGUUCCGCCAGGGGCAUAGCCGGGUAGCUAAGUAGGGAAAGGAUAAGCGCUGAAAGCAUCUAAGCACGAAGCCUACUCCAAGAUGAGAUCUCCCAUUCG
This 2294-nucleotide ribosomal RNA is filed under the name human gut metagenome. Its description in RNAcentral is "bacterial LSU rRNA". It matches the Rfam family "Bacterial large subunit ribosomal RNA", at positions 509 to 2820 of the family's 2925-position model. The record is from RNAcentral.